RNAcentral lists this long non-coding RNA (439 nucleotides) under Solanum lycopersicum (tomato). RNAcentral's name for it is "uncharacterized LOC104645563 (LOC104645563)". The record is from RNAcentral. Lineage: Eukaryota; Viridiplantae; Streptophyta; Magnoliopsida; Solanales; Solanaceae.
UAGAAGUGAAGAUGGGAAAUUGUUUGAGACAUGGAGAAUGCGUGGCACCAAUGACAAGUUUAGAUGUAGAAAAAGAAAGAUUAUUAUGGAUUAAUACUGGUAAUAGUAAGAUUAGAGGGACAAAAAUCAGAAUAACAAAGAAGGAGUUAGAGGACAUGUUAAGAGGAUUGAACAUGCAAGAUGUUACGGUAGAUCAAGUUUUAUCUACAAUAUUGAUCAAUUCAAGGAGCCAUGGCUAUCAUCAUCGGAAUCAACGUCAAUGGCGUCCCAUUCUCCAAAGAAUUCCUGAGGUUUAUUGAAGAAGUAAGAAGAUUAUCGUUUAGGUUCAGAAGAAAUGAAUUUAAGAUUUAAAUUGUAAAUGAUUGAUAAGUUAGAUUGAGAACAUAUGUAAUAGCAGAACUACUUUUUUGUGGUAAUGAAUGAAUGCUAAUUUUAAAGC